Molecule: ribosomal RNA, 401 nt
Filed under: uncultured bacterium
Lineage: Bacteria
Description: bacterial SSU rRNA
Rfam family: Bacterial small subunit ribosomal RNA
Source: RNAcentral
GCCUACACAUGCAAGUCGAAACGGGUAACAGGAAGCAGCUUGCUGCUUCGCUGACGAGUGGCGGACGGGUGAGUAAUGUCUGGGAAACUGCCUGAUGGGGGGGGAUAACUACUGGAAACGGUAGCUAAUACCGCAUAACGUCGCAAGACCAAAGAGGGGGACCUUCGGGCCUCUUGCCAUCGGAUGUGCCCAGAUGGGGUUAGCUAGUAGGUGGGGUAACGGCUCACCUAGGCGACGAUCCCUAGCUGGUCUGAGAGGAUGACCAGCCACACUGGAACUGAGACACGGUCCAGACUCCUACGGGAGGCAGCAGUGGGGAAUAUUGCACAAUGGGCGCAAGCCUGAUGCAGCCAUGCCGCGUGUAUGAAGAAGGCCUUCGGGUUGUAAAGUACUUUCAGCGG